This 491-nucleotide ribosomal RNA is filed under the name uncultured bacterium. Its description in RNAcentral is "partial 16S ribosomal RNA". It matches the Rfam family "Bacterial small subunit ribosomal RNA", at positions 29 to 506 of the family's 1533-position model. The record is from RNAcentral.
AGUGAACGCUGGCGGUAGGCCUAACACAUGCAAGUCGAACGGCAGCACAGUAAGAGCUUGCUCUUACGGGUGGCGAGUGGCGGACGGGUGAGGAAUACAUCGGAAUCUACUUUUUCGUGGGGGAUAACGUAGGGAAACUUACGCUAAUACCGCAUACGACCUACGGGUGAAAGCAGGGGAUCUUCGGACCUUGCGCGAUUGAAUGAGCCGAUGUCGGAUUAGCUAGUUGGCGGGGUAAAGGCCCACCAAGGCGACGAUCCGUAGCUGGUCUGAGAGGAUGAUCAGCCACACUGGAAAUGAGACACGGUCCAGACUCUGACGGGAGGCAGCAGUGGGGAAUAUUGGACAAUGGGCGCAAGCCUGAUCCAGCCAUACCGCGUGGGUGAAGAAGGCCUUCGGGUUGUAAAGCCCUUUUGUUGGGAAAGAAAAGCAGCAGGUUAAUACCCCGCUGUUCUGACGGGACCCAAAGAAUAAGCACCGGCUAACUUCGU